AUGGUGCCGAAGCCGGAGAGAUGGGCUUGGGGCUGGCCGCACUCGCAGGCGAUUGCCAGCCCCUUCCUCAGCCUCGUCGCCUCGGCAUGGCUUCUGCUGCCCACUCACCAAGGCGGGGGUGAGGACGACGGCGCCUCAAGGAGCGGGCGCAAGGCUGAGGCGCGGCUCUUGGGCGAUUCCUGGCAGCAGAGAAGGCUGGAGAGGCUCCUGCGGUGGCGGCUGCUGCUGUUGCCAAAGGGAGAGGAAGGCAGGGUGGGCGUGGGGUGGGCUGAGCCCAAGGGGGAUGCGCAGAUGGGAGGGAGGGAAGGAGGGGAGAGGCUGCCCAGGAGGAGGGAAGAGAGAUGGGGGGCUGGCGCUGGCCUUACUUGGGUUGCCCGAAGCCAGCCCUCCAUCCUCCCGCCUCCUGAGCAUCCUAUCAGCAUCCACCUGCUGCUGCCCCUAUCUGCCCUUCUUCCCUCUUUCCUUCUUGCCCCUUAUCCACCCAAGCACCCCCUUCCCUUGCUUGCACUGAAGGAUUUGGGGAGGGAAGUGGCACCAUACCAUUUUUAUUUCCUUCCAAGCAAGUCCUUCUCCUUCUUUCUUAACCUGUGCACUGAAUCGACUCUAAUAAAUAAUAAUAAUAAUAAUAAUAAUAAUAAUAAUAAUAAUAAUAUUGAUCAUAUCCUCAGCUGCUGUAAGAAAAUCGCACAGACAGACUACAAACAGAGGCACAACUAUGUGGCCCAAAUGAUUCAUUGGAACUUAUGCCUCAAGUACCACCUCCCUGCAGUAAAGAACUGGUGGGAUCACAAACCUGCAAAAGUAUUGGAGAAUAAGCACGCAAAGGUACUGUGGGACUUCCGAAUCCAGACUGACAAAGUUCUGGAACACAACACACCAGACAUCACAGUUGUGGAAAAGAACAAAGUUUGGAUCAUUGAUGUUGCCAUCCCAGGUGACAGUCGCAUUGAAGAAAAACAACAGGAAAAACUCAGCCGCUAUCAGGACCUCAAGAUUGAACUUCAAAGACUCUGGCAGAAACCAGUGCAGGUGGUCCCGGUGGUGAUGGGCACACUGGGUGCCGUGCCAAAAGAUCUCAGCCGUCAUUUGGAAACAAUAGACAUUGACAAAAUUACGAUCUGCCAACUGCAAAAGGCCACCUUACUGGGAUCUGCACGCAUCAUCCGAAAAUACAUCACACAGUCCUAG
Molecule: long non-coding RNA, 1188 nt
Filed under: Anolis carolinensis (green anole)
Lineage: Eukaryota; Metazoa; Chordata; Lepidosauria; Squamata; Anolidae
Description: lncRNA (ENSACAG00000044364.1)
Source: RNAcentral